RNAcentral lists this ribosomal RNA (896 nucleotides) under Acrotoma likharevi. Its description in RNAcentral is "partial 16S ribosomal RNA". The record is from RNAcentral. Lineage: Eukaryota; Metazoa; Mollusca; Gastropoda; Stylommatophora; Clausiliidae.
UUAAAUUAAAAUAAAUUAUCUUUUUAGUUUCCCGAAAUAGGUAGAGCUAAUUAAAGUGUCUUUUUAGUUUUGAUUGUAUAAUGUAGCAUAAUUAUAAUUCAAAUAUUAAUUAGGGGUGAAAGGCUAAUCAAUACCUACAGAUAUCUGGAUAAUCCUUAAAGAUAUAUAGUAUAUUUAAGUCAGAUAUAAAAUUUUAAGGUUUUAUAUUAAAAAAAUAUUGUAAGUUUUUGUAGUGUAAGCGAAUUAAAAUUUUAUUUCAUUACUAGUAGAAUAAUUAAUUUACUCAAAAUUUUAAAGAUUAGGGAUUUUCUCCAUUAGACUUAUUAUGGAGUUGAUUUUGUUUAAAUUAGUAAUAAAUUAUCAACUAACCAAAAGGAACUCGGCAAAUCUAAAUCUCAACUGUUUAUCAAAAACAUAGCUAGCUGUUAUUUAUACCUAGUUUUUUCUGCCCGGUGAAAUGUCUUUAACGGCCGCAGUACACUGACUGUGCAAAGGUAGCAUAAUAAUUUGACUUUUAAUUGAAGUCUUGUAUAAAAGAAAGCAUGGGAUAAAUCUGUCUCUUGGUUAUUUUUAUUAAUUUACUUUAGAAAGUGAAAAGACUUUCAUACCUUUAAAAGACGAGAAGACCCUAUGAAUUUUUAUUAAAUUAGCAAAUAUGCUUUAGUAUUUUUGUUGGGGCAACAAAUUGACAUAGUUAUUCUUUAGAGGGAUAAAUUCAUUUUAAUACUCAAUGCUAGCAUUAACAGAAUAAAAUAUAUCGAAUGUUAUUAGUAAAAGAUAAAUUACUAUAGGGAUAACAGCAUAAUUUUAAAAAUUGGAUUAUGACCUCGAUGUUGGACUAGGAAACCCUUAAGGUAGCACUUUAACGGCAUAGUUCUGUUCGAACUUAAUUUCCU